Molecule: transfer RNA, 73 nt
Filed under: Mus musculus (house mouse)
Lineage: Eukaryota; Metazoa; Chordata; Mammalia; Rodentia; Muridae
Also listed under: 1 other name
Rfam family: tRNA
About the family: Transfer RNA (tRNA) molecules are approximately 80 nucleotides in length.
Source: Rfam by way of RNAcentral
GGGAAUGCAGCUCAGUUGGUAGAGUGCUUGCCUGGCAUUCAUGAAGCCCUGGGUUCAAUCCCCAACAUCACCA